AGUGAACGCUGGCGGUAGGCCUAACACAUGCAAGUCGAACGGCAGCACAGUAAGAGCUUGCUCUUACGGGUGGCGAGUGGCGGACGAGUGAGGAAUACAUCGGAAUCUACUUUUUCGUGGGGGAUAACGUAGGGAAACUUACGCUAAUACCGCAUACGACCUACGGGUGAAAGCAGGGGAUCUUCGGACCUUGCGCGAUUGAAUGAGCCGAUGUCGGAUUAGCUAGUUGGCGGGGUAAAGGCCCACCAAGGCGACGAUCCGUAGCUGGUCUGAGAGGAUGAUCAGCCACACUGGAACUGAGACACGGCCCAGACUCCGACGGGAGGCAGCAGUGGGGAAUAUUGGACAAUGGGCGCAAGCCUGAUCCAGCCAUACCGCGUGGGUGAAGAAGGCCUUCGGGUUGUAAAGCCCUUUUGUUGGGAAAGAAAAGCAGCAGGUUAAUACCCCGCUGUUCUGACGGUACCCAAAGAAUAAGCACCGGCUAACUUCGUG
This 492-nucleotide ribosomal RNA is filed under the name uncultured bacterium. RNAcentral's name for it is "partial 16S ribosomal RNA". It matches the Rfam family "Bacterial small subunit ribosomal RNA", at positions 29 to 507 of the family's 1533-position model. The record is from RNAcentral.